Molecule: transfer RNA, 80 nt
Filed under: Felis catus (domestic cat)
Lineage: Eukaryota; Metazoa; Chordata; Mammalia; Carnivora; Felidae
Rfam family: tRNA
About the family: Transfer RNA (tRNA) molecules are approximately 80 nucleotides in length.
Source: Rfam by way of RNAcentral
GCCUGGGUGGCUCAGUCAGUAAAGCAUCUGACUUUGGUUCAGGUCAUGAUCUCACGGCUUGUGAGUUCAAGCCCCAGGCU